ACGAACGCUGGCGGCGUGCUUAACACAUGCAAGUCGAACGAAGAGCGAUGGAAGCUUGCUUCUAUCAAUCUUAGUGGCGAACGGGUGAGUAACGCGUAAUCAACCUGCCCUUCAGAGGGGGACAACAGUUGGAAACGACUGCUAAUACCGCAUACGAUCCAACCUCGGCAUCGAGGAUGGAUGAAAGGUGGCCUCUAUUUAUAAGCUAUCACUGAAGGAGGGGAUUGCGUCUGAUUAGCUAGUUGGAGGGGUAACGGCCCACCAAGGCAAUGAUCAGUAGCCGGUCUGAGAGGAUGAACGGCCACAUUGGGACUGAGACACGGCCCAGACUCCUACGGGAGGCAGCAGUGGGGAAUCUUCCGCAAUGGACGAAAGUCUGACGGAGCAACGCCGCGUGAGUGAUGACGGCCUUCGGGUUGUAAAGCUCUGUUAAUCGGGACGAAAGGUCCUCUUGCGAAUAGUUAGAGGAAUUGACGGUACCGGAAUAGAAAGCCA
RNAcentral lists this ribosomal RNA (495 nucleotides) under Veillonella sp. oral clone R60. RNAcentral's name for it is "bacterial SSU rRNA". It matches the Rfam family "Bacterial small subunit ribosomal RNA", at positions 29 to 493 of the family's 1533-position model. The record is from RNAcentral. Lineage: Bacteria; Bacillati; Bacillota; Negativicutes; Veillonellales; Veillonellaceae.